UACGUAGGUGACGAGCGUUAUCCGGAAUUAUUGGGCGUAAAGCGCACGCAAGCGGUCUAUCAAGUCUGACGUGAAAUCUCUUGGCUUAACUGGGAGCGGUCGUUGGAAACUGAUAGGCUUGAGGCAAUGAGAGGGAUGCAGAAUUCCUGGUGUAGUGGUGGAAUGCGUAGAUAUCAGGAGGAAUACCUGUGGCGAAAGCGGCAUCCUGGCGUUGUUCUGACGCUCAUGUGCGAAAGCGUGGGGAGCGAACGGG
Molecule: ribosomal RNA, 253 nt
Filed under: uncultured bacterium
Lineage: Bacteria
Also listed under: 1 other name
Description: partial 16S ribosomal RNA
Rfam family: Bacterial small subunit ribosomal RNA
Source: RNAcentral